CUGCUGCUGCAGGAUAUACAUCAGUGAAAGAGGAGAAAAACAAUUCAAAACACUACAAAACUGCCUAGAAGGAUAGGAAGAAAAAGACUGAAAACCAGCUAAAGUGAUAGUCGCAGAAAUUAUCAAAGUGAAACAAUAAAUCUAGCCUAAUUCGUAGCGUGAAAUGAA
Molecule: long non-coding RNA, 168 nt
Organism: Vidua chalybeata
Lineage: Eukaryota; Metazoa; Chordata; Aves; Passeriformes; Viduidae
Exons: 2
Source: RefSeq, a predicted model, not a curated record